UGCGCUGUAAGACACAACCAUUUACAUCUUCAUUGGACUUUUGCAGCCUGCGUUUCGCGGCCACCUUGUCAGGGAUCCGCGUUCUGACCUCUUAGGAUAAGACCACAUGUACCCCAGUUAUAUAGCCAAUUCACUGUAUGAUUGCAAUUCUGGACGCUUGCUUUUGCAGUGGCAGUUGCGCCAGCUUGGGACAGCCUGAUGUUAUGGUGCAGGCUCCUACCGAAAUUCGCCUUGUUUAGAAAUUCUCUAUUAUUAAUUUAAAUUUCAAGGGCGAUGCAAGGUAAGUCACAUGGCGAGUUACUUCUAUUCCUGCUUGGCACCUACCUUAAGCUACCUUUGACCUGGGCGACCUUGAUGCAUCCGCCUCGACCUUGAUGCAUCACACCCGUAGCCGCCACGUUAAAGUGUCCUCGGGUACCAACGCCCGGCGAGGGGCCGGCGCUACACCCCGCAGUAUGCCACCAGACAGCUGAGGGGAGGAGUAUGGAGCCACGUCUAAACUCCUUUGUGCGCGUGCAGACCAAUAUGUGCACAUUUCCUGGGUAUGCGGAGGUUAUCAAGUGGUCUUGCAACUGAAAAAUGGUGGAGGCCGUAAUGUGAGUCCGGUUGUGUACCUUUUUCUAGUGUCUAUUGUCACGGUAGACCUUCCGUAUAUCAGUAUUUUCCUACCAAGUCGCAUGGCGCCAACCGCGACGCGCACUUACUAAAAUAAUAAUAAUAAUAAUGAAUAAUAAUUACAAUAAUAAUAUAAUCAGGAAGCUAACUUGAAUCAUUUCCUAGGCCACAUGGAACCCGCAAGCAUUUAUAAUAAAUUCGUAUGAACACGGUUCUUCCGCCAAGCAGCAUCACUCGACCAAUCGCGACUCCCGACGCAACGGCAGAGUUCUCAGGGGAUCUGUUUUCACGAAUCGUAUCUUAUCGCGCAGCUCCCUUUCGGCCCAGAUCGCUGGUUCAUCUCUUGGUGGUCACGCAAAGGGCUCACAAAGGUCGCCCGCCACCACCGACCAUCUACGGCAAAGCCUCAAGCUGCAGCAGAUCUGCAGUCCCUGACGGGAUACGGCUGACCCAAUUUCCUUGUGAGACAUGGCUUUCAAAGAUGGGCGCAGGCGCCGCGAAGGAUGGCCAUCAAGCGAGUGCUACUGAAUGUUGUCCAUUCGUAACGUAUCUGCAACGAGCCCUUUAAAACAAG
RNAcentral lists this long non-coding RNA (1189 nucleotides) under Volvox carteri. Its description in RNAcentral is "long non-coding RNA (VCAR_LNC002482)". Lineage: Eukaryota; Viridiplantae; Chlorophyta; Chlorophyceae; Chlamydomonadales; Volvocaceae. The record is from RNAcentral.